GGAUGCGUAGCUCAGAUGGUAGAGCGCUCGCCUAGCAUGCGAGAGGUGCCGGGAUCGAUACCCGGCGCCUCCA
This 73-nucleotide transfer RNA is filed under the name Araneus ventricosus. It matches the Rfam family "tRNA". Rfam says of the family: Transfer RNA (tRNA) molecules are approximately 80 nucleotides in length. Their secondary structure includes four short double-helical elements and three loops (D, anti-codon, and T loops). The record is from Rfam by way of RNAcentral. Lineage: Eukaryota; Metazoa; Arthropoda; Arachnida; Araneae; Araneidae.